This 508-nucleotide unclassified non-coding RNA is filed under the name leaf metagenome. RNAcentral describes it as "partial contains internal transcribed spacer 1, 5.8S ribosomal RNA, and internal transcribed spacer 2". The stretch from base 188 to 341 matches the Rfam family "5.8S ribosomal RNA". The record is from RNAcentral.
GCGGAAGGAUCAUUACAGCGAAACGGCGCGAGCCGCCUUUCGAACCACCGCGUACCGAACCCCCCACGUUGCCUCGGCGGGCGCCGGGCGCCCCGCGCCCGCCGAACGGCCCCCCCAGCAAGACCCCUUCCGUCGAGAUGGCGUCGUCUGAACCCUCCGGGGAAAACGUUUUUGAAACGAAAAACACAACUUUCAACAAUGGAUCUCUUGGCUCCGGCAUCGAUGAAGAACGCAGCGAAACGCGAUAGCUAGUGUGAAUUGCAGAUUUCAGUGAAUCAUCGAGUCUUUGAACGCACAUUGCGCCUCUUGGUAUUCCUCGAGGCAUGCCUGUUCGAGCGUCGUUACGCCCCUCAAGCGCGAGCUUGGUGUUGGGGACCGCCCCUGAGACACGGCGGCGGCCCCGGAAUGCAUCGGCGGUGCUGGUCCCAGCCCGGAGCGCAGCAGACAUGCGGCUCCGCGGGCGGGCCCGGCGCCCGCCGGACAAACGACGAGACCCCCCCACGAGUCG